CAGUAGCCGCGGUAAUACGUAGGUGGCAAGCGUUGUCCGGAAUUAUUGGGCGUAAAGGGCUCGCAGGCGGUUUCUUAAGUCUGAUGUGAAAGCCCCCGGCUCGACCGGGGAGGGUCAUUGGAAACUGGGAAACUUGAGUGCAGAAGAGGAGAGUGGAAUUCCACGUGUAGCGGUGAAAUGCGUAGAGAUGUGGAGGAACACCAGUGGCGAAGGCGACUCUCUGGCCUGUAACUGACGCUGAGGAGCGAAAGCGUGGGGAGCGAACAGGAUUAGAUACCCGGGUAGUCCCUGUCUCUUAUAC
This 301-nucleotide ribosomal RNA is filed under the name uncultured bacterium. Its description in RNAcentral is "partial 16S ribosomal RNA". It matches the Rfam family "Bacterial small subunit ribosomal RNA", at positions 509 to 807 of the family's 1533-position model. The record is from RNAcentral.